This 493-nucleotide ribosomal RNA is filed under the name uncultured bacterium. Its description in RNAcentral is "partial 16S ribosomal RNA". It matches the Rfam family "Bacterial small subunit ribosomal RNA", at positions 30 to 507 of the family's 1533-position model. The record is from RNAcentral.
CGAACGCUGGCGGCGUGCCUAAUACAUGCAAGUAGAACGCUGAAGGAGGAGCUUGCUUCUCUGGAUGAGUUGCGAACGGGUGAGUAACGCGUAGGUAACCUGCCUGGUAGCGGGGGAUAACUAUUGGAAACGAUAGCUAAUACCGCAUAAUAGUAGAUGUUGCAUGCCAUUUGCUUAAAAGGUGCAAUUGCAUCACUACCAGAUGGACCUGCGUUGUAUUAGCUAGUUGGUGGGGUAACGGCUCACCAAGGCGACGAUACAUAGCCGACCUGAGAGGGUGAUCGGCCACACUGGGACUGAGACACGGCCCAGACUCCUACGGGAGGCAGCAGUAGGGAAUCUUCGGCAAGGGACGGAAGUCUGACCGAGCAACGCCGCGUGAGUGAAGAAGGUUUUCGGAUCGUAAAGCUCUGUUGUAAGAGAAGAACGAGUGUGAGAGUGGAAAGUUCACACUGUGACGGUAUCUUACCAGAAAGGGACGGCUAACUACGUG